GGACUACCCGGGUAUCUAAUCCUGUUUGCUCCCCACGCUUUCGCGCCUCAGCGUCAGUAUCGGACCAGGUCGCCGCCUUCGCCACCGGUGUUCUUCCCAAUAUCUACGAAUUUCACCUCUACACUGGGAAUUCCACGACCCUCUUCCGAACUCAAGCCUGCAUGUAUCAAACGCAGCCCCCAGGUUAAGCCCAGGAAUUUCACGUCUGACUAUGCAAACCGCCUACGCGCCCUUUACGCCCAGUCAAUCCGAGCAACGCUAGCCCCCUUCGUAUUACCGCGGCGGCUGGCAC
RNAcentral lists this ribosomal RNA (292 nucleotides) under uncultured Alphaproteobacteria bacterium. Its description in RNAcentral is "partial 16S ribosomal RNA". Lineage: Bacteria; Pseudomonadati; Pseudomonadota; Alphaproteobacteria. The record is from RNAcentral.